CGGAUUACUGAUGAUUGUCAGGUGUGUCUAAUGAGGACCGGUGGUGACAGGAAAAACACAGCUGUGGUGUGAGUGUGGCAGGAAGUCCUUUAAAAUAAAACCAGAGAUCAGAACCAAAACAUGACAGACAGGAAGGUCUUCAAAAUAAAACCGGAGCAGGACCAGAAACUGCGAAGUUGUGUUGGUUGAUCCCUUUGGAGCCACAGAAACAAAAAUAAAACACUGCAAAGACAAAACAAGGUAGGACUAAUUCGUUUAUCUGUAAAAAACUUCUGACAUUGUAAAAGAAAUAAACACUGUAAAACAAUGUAUUAGGGCCUUUUUAUGAAAAAAAACCUUCCACAUAUCAAGAUGGACAUGUCGCACCGUCUCCCAUCCACGUCAGCAAGACUCAACAUCGUGUAGAGUGUUUGUGUGCAAAGUAAGAUAAUAAACUUCUCUAUAUGCUGUAUUGAAAACUGGAAUGUGAUUGCAGUGACGUUUGAAUUUAAGAUUGCAGAGCAAUUGCUGUUGGGUCAGCAGAUUGACUUUGAAGUCAAUAAAUAUGCUGUUGAUCAACUGCGACUGGAAAUGGCAACAAAGUUAAUUGAGAGCUCAGACAACCUCAUGGAUCUCUGCCAUGCCUGUGGGAAAAGACACACCUCUUACGCUGUUGUGGACAAUUAAAUUGAAUGCACAACCUGCUUCAACUGGUUUCACUUACUCUGUGUUGGGAAGCCCAACACAGAAGAAGAUUAUUUCUGUCCAGCCUGCACAGAAUAAAAUUCUCCUUGCACACUCUCGAUGGUUGAAGCCUUAUGGCUCCAUUGAUUACAAAUGGAUGUGAAUGAGUCUGUAUUAUGUGAAUUGUUGGGCAACAUACAGGUAUCAUCGGACUCAGCUAUGUAUCUGUGAUGGGCAGCUGCAGAUCCAACCAUCGUGCCUGUGUCCAGUCCCUGGUCCAACCAUCCUGCC
Molecule: long non-coding RNA, 954 nt
Organism: Betta splendens (Siamese fighting fish)
Lineage: Eukaryota; Metazoa; Chordata; Actinopteri; Anabantiformes; Osphronemidae
Exons: 4
Source: RefSeq, a predicted model, not a curated record